GAUGAACGCUAGCGGCAGGCCUAAUACAUGCAAGUCGAACGAGAUUAAGAGGCUUGCUUCUUAUGAAAGUGGCGCACGGGUGCGUAACGCGUAUGCAACCUACCUUAAUCAGGGGGAUAGCCCGAAGAAAUUCGGAUUAAGACCGCAUAAAAACACAGGAUAGCAUUAUCCAAUGUUCAAAUAUUUAUAGGAUUAAGAUGGGCAUGCGUGUCAUUAGCUAGUUGGCGGGGUAACGGCCCACCAAGGCGACGAUGACUAGGGGAUCUGAGAGGAUGACCCCCCACACUGGUACUGAGACACGGACCAGACUCCUACGGGAGGCAGCAGUAAGGAAUAUUGGUCAAUGGAGGGAACUCUGAACCAGCCAUGCCGCGUGCAGGAAGUCAGCCCUCUGGGUCGUAAACUGCUUUUAUUCGGGAAUAAACCUUUCUACGUGUAGGAAGCUGAAUGUACCGAAGGAAUAAGGAUCGGCUAACUCCGUG
Molecule: ribosomal RNA, 482 nt
Filed under: uncultured bacterium
Lineage: Bacteria
Description: partial 16S ribosomal RNA
Rfam family: Bacterial small subunit ribosomal RNA
Source: RNAcentral